GGUUUAAUUACCCAAGUUUGAGAUAAUUGAAUGUUUCGGCCCGGUGUUUUGGCUGCUGUGGCUUGAAAUGAAAUUUUGGAAUGUCCUGUAUUUGCGGGACAAC
Onchocerca flexuosa is the source of this 103-nucleotide non-coding RNA. NCBI's taxonomy places the organism in Eukaryota, Metazoa, Nematoda, Chromadorea, Rhabditida, Onchocercidae. The record is from Rfam.